GUCGCCCCUGGACCAGUUGCUUGCUCGCUCCUCCCCCAUCCCUCCCUCCCGUCCGCCAUUGGUCGUCGCCAUUUUCCAAUCCCACUAUUAUAAACUCGUUCCCCUCCCAAGAACCCGCAAAGCGCAGGCAGGCAGGCAUCUUCCUCCCCCUUCCUCCUCCUCCCCCGUCCUCCGCCGCCGCUGCUGGCUUUCCUUCCGGCGAGCGAGGAUCGUCCCUGAUCCGUCCGGGGCUCGCCCCCCGCCUCCUCCGUGCCUGGAGGUGAAAUAAGCAAAUAUUUUCCUGACGUCAAGUUUGCUACAGACUGGCCCUUCCUUGGCUGAACCGGCACACACUACCAACAUGGAAACAUACACCACGGAUGAUGCGCUUACAGCCAUGGGAUUUGGAAAAUUGCAAGGACUUGUUCUUGUUUAUGCAGGCAUGGGUUGGGUUGCAGAAGCCAUGGAGGUCAUGCUACUGUCAUUUGUUGGACCACUGAUUCGAGAGGAAUGGAAAAUCUCUGCCCAAGAUGAAAGUUUACUCUCAAGUGUAGUGUUUUUGGGCAUGUUAAUUGGAGCAUGUGGUUGGGGAUAUGUGUCUGACAAAUAUGGGCGAAGGACUGGUUUACUGCUUUCAACUCUGUUUACUACUGGAAUGGGUUUCCUAAGUGCUUUGUCUCCAAACUAUUUAUGUUUGAUGGCUCUUCGCUUUCUCGUUGGCGUAGGACUGGGUGGCAGCCAUGUGUAUUCAUCUUGGUUUUUGGAGUUUGUUCCUGCGCAAAAUCGUGGCUUUUGGAUGAUUAUUUUUUCCUUUUUUUGGACUAUUGGCACAGUCUUGGAGGCUUCACUUGCAUGGAUUGUCGUAUCAACAUUGACUUGGAGGUGGUUGCUAGCAUUGACUGCCAUCCCUUGCUUUCUCUUGCUCCCUUUCUUUGGAAUUACACCUGAAUCGCCACGCUAUCUGUGUGCGCAAAAUAGAAUAUCUGAUGCAACACUUGUCCUGGAGAGAAUCGCCGAGACAAACCAAGCAACUCUUCCUCCUGGAGUUCUCGUAUACCCUCGAGACGGUGAAGUUGAUCAUAGUACUCUUACCUCUGAGGCAGAUCAUCUUCUUCCACUCAGAGAGAAGGAAUGCACAGAUGAUGAUGUCACAAGCCCCAAAUCUGGUAGUGCUGCUGCAUUGCGCAGUCUGCUGUCACGGAAAUUGCGUAGAUCAACUCUUCUACUUUGGUUUGUUUUCUACGCAAAUUCCUUUGCUUAUUAUGGACUAGUCUUGCUGACCGCGCAACUGAGCAAUGCAAAUAAAAGCUGUGCAUCUGGGCUGAAAUAUGUGAAGAGUGAAACAGAUGCCAGCCUUUACAAAGAUACAUUUGUCACUAGUCUUGCAGAGAUUCCGGGUCUAAUUGCAUCUGCUCUUCUUGUUGAAUGGUUUGGCCGAAAAGCUACAAUGUGGUGCUUGCUCUUCACAUGCUGUGGUUUCCUUGGCCCACUUGUGUUUUAUCAGAGUGAGCUAUGGACAACUGGCCUUCUAUUUGGUGCUCGUGCUUGUGCCAUGGGUAGCUACACAGUUGUAUGUUUAUAUGCCCCAGAGGUUCGUAUCUUUUUCUCAUGGCAUGCAGUAAAUGUGUUUCUUGGUGACUUGACCAUCACAGUAUAGUGAGUUUAAUGUGUUGAAAGUACCGCCUGGUAGGCCUAUAAGUUGCAAUUUCAACAUUAUAUCCAUCGAUUUGGCUAGGUACUUAAAAUGGUAUUUUGCUUCCUGAAUAUUUGAAUUUUUUUAUGUCUGCAUUACAUUUCAUAAUGAAGAUAUAUGUAAGUAAACUGGUGCGAGUAAGACCUAAACGAAUAAAACAUACUACUGCAUCCUUCUUAUUAAUAUUAUUCAGUAAUGUUUUCUUGUCACACUGUCAUAUUAUGACCAUUGUGACUUUUUUAUGUAUUGAAUUACAUGAAGGGAGUAUCUUUAGACAGGACCUAUGCAAGGGCUUUUUGUAUCUAUGAUCUCCACAUCAAGCUCUUGCAAAGCGAUGGACUUCUCUAAGACAGAAGAGAAGCAAGCAACCGACUGAUAUAAGCACGGUCACAAGAAUAUUUUACUUGCUAGAGCAUCCACUUUUUAGUAUCAUUGAUUUGCAUUUGUUAAUUUUGAGUUUAUUAUUGGGUUUACAAGGUGUUCACCACAGAAUUUUGUGCUUCGAAAUUUCUUGAGGACCCUAGCAUCGUGUAGGUUUCUUUGGUUUAUAGGUAUACCCGACGUCGGUGCGCUCGACCGGGGUUGGAAUCGCGACCGCCAUGGGGAGAGUCGGUGGAAUUAUUUGCCCCCUUGUAGCCGUUGGGAUGCUGAGAAGCUGCCAUCAGAUGGAAGCAAUCAUUGUGUUUGAGGUGGUGUUAUUCCUUGCUGCAAUUGCCUGCAUGCUCUUCCCUUUUGAGACCAAGGGCCGCGCAAUGAACUGAUGAUGGUCAUGGUGUAAACAAGUAAAAACACUUGGACCAUAAAAUUCGUCAUGCUGCUUCGCGUGAACGUUUAUAUACAAACUGUUAUAUGUCUAGUAUUUUAGUGGACAUGACGAUGAAGAUUCCUCGAAAUUCAUUUCGGGGUUUCGGAUGUUAUUGGACAUCAUUUUGUAAAGUCCUCACUCCUUAAGACUGUAAGUAGGAGUAUGUUAUGGUAUGUAUGUAUGUAUAAAUUCUUUGAACGUGAUUAAGUGUCUGCAACAGGCAUUUCUACCA
Molecule: RNA transcript, 2709 nt
Organism: Triticum aestivum (bread wheat)
Lineage: Eukaryota; Viridiplantae; Streptophyta; Magnoliopsida; Poales; Poaceae
Gene name: organic cation/carnitine transporter 7
Exons: 6
Source: RefSeq, a predicted model, not a curated record